AGAGUUUGAUCAUGGCUCAGGACGAACGCUGGCGGCGUGCUUAACACAUGCAAGUGGAGCGACGAACCGGGGCUUGCCCCGGGGCAGAGCCGCGAACGGGUGAGUAACACGUGGGUAACCCACCCCGAUGACCGGGACAACCCGAGGAAACUCGGGCUAAUACCGGAUGUGCUCCUUGACCUCGAGGUCAAGGCGUAAAGAUAGCUUCGGCCUUCGCAUCGGGACGGGCCCGCGGCCCAUUAGCUAGACGGUGGGGUAACGGCCUACCGUGGCGAUGAUCGGUAGCUGGUCUGAGAGGACGGCCAGCCACACGGGGACUGAGACACGGCCCCGACUCCUACGGGAGGCAGCAGCAAGGAAUCUUCCGCAAUGGGGGCAACCCUGACGGAGCAACGCCGCGUGGGGGAUGACGCGCUUCGGCGUGUAAACCCCUUUUCUUCGGGAAGAAGGGCUUCGGUCUUGACGGUACCGGAGGAAGAAGGACCGGCUAACUACGUGCCAGCAGCCGCGGUAAUACGUAGGGUCCAAGCGUUGUCCGGAGUUACUGGGCGUAAAGCGCGCGCAGGCGGCGGUGCUGGCCCGGCGUGAAAGCCCCCGGCUCAACCGGGGAGGGUCGUCGGGGACCGCACCGCUUGAGGGCGGUAGGGGCUGGUGGAAUGCCUGGUGUAGUGGUGAAAUGCGUAGAGAUCAGGCGGAACACCCGUGGCGAAGGCGGCCAGCUGGGCCGUCCCUGACGCUGAGGCGCGAAGGCGUGGGGAGCGAACGGGAUUAGAUACCCCCGUAGUCC
RNAcentral lists this ribosomal RNA (787 nucleotides) under uncultured Sphaerobacter sp. RNAcentral's name for it is "bacterial SSU rRNA". It matches the Rfam family "Bacterial small subunit ribosomal RNA", at positions 8 to 796 of the family's 1533-position model. The record is from RNAcentral. Lineage: Bacteria; Pseudomonadati; Thermomicrobiota; Thermomicrobia; Sphaerobacterales; Sphaerobacteraceae.